This is a long non-coding RNA of Rhinopithecus roxellana (golden snub-nosed monkey), 692 nucleotides long. RefSeq lists it as uncharacterized. The record is from RefSeq and is a predicted model, not a curated record. The transcript is spliced from 4 exons. NCBI's taxonomy places the organism in Eukaryota, Metazoa, Chordata, Mammalia, Primates, Cercopithecidae.
CUGCACAGACCCCUCUUGUUGGGAGACAAGACAGGGCUCUUUCUCUCCCGUGACCUCAACCUCAUCUCCAAUGCUGGGGAAGAGAGACACUGAAAUUCUUCCUGUGACUGAACACAUGAGAAUGUGACAGUUAUUUGGGGUAACAGGUUUCCUGUGGGUCCUGUGUUCAACAAGGACUAUUGCGUGAAGAGUAUGCAUUCGUUCCAGUGUCAGGGGAGAGGAAAAGAAUGAGGAGGAGAGUCCCAUGUGGAUGUCGGUGUGAUGAUUAGGAUGCCUGAUGCUUCUGAAACAAGAAUACACUUUACAAAAAUGCCCAGUCGAAAACACUUUUUACUUUCUAUCUUGUGCUAAGAGUGCCUUUUUGGAUCCCACGGCUUCAUAAUGUACUCCCAGGGAGGAAGAGGCUACAGCACUGGUGCGCUCCCAGGAAUAACACAUACAGGAAAACAAUGCAGGCAAGAUACGUUUUUUUUUGAAGAGUACUCUGAAGAUCUCUGCAUUAGAAUCACCUGUGAUACUUGUGUAACAUGAAGAUUCUUGGCUGCUUUACAGCUACAGAAUUAAAGAGUUCCCUAAAAUUUGAAAACCAGUGAUCAAGAUACCAAGCUAUUUUGUUUGUUUGUUUGUUUGUUUCAGAACAUCUUCCCUAAUGUCCAGUGCAGUGAUUCAGGCCUGUAAUCCCAGCACUCUAA